UACGAAGGGUGCUAGCGUUGUUCGGAAUCACUGGGCGUAAAGCGCACGUAGGCGGAUUGUUAAGUCGGGGGUGAAAUCCUGAGGCUCAACCUCAGAACUGCCUUCGAUACUGGCAAUCUCGAGUCCGGAAGAGGUUGGUGGAACAGCUAGUGUAGAGGUGAAAUUCGUAGAUAUUAGCUAGAACACCAGUGGCGAAGGCGGCCAACUGGUCCGGUACUGACGCUGAGGUGCGAAAGCGUGGGGAGCAAACAGG
RNAcentral lists this ribosomal RNA (253 nucleotides) under uncultured bacterium. RNAcentral describes it as "partial 16S ribosomal RNA". It matches the Rfam family "Bacterial small subunit ribosomal RNA", at positions 524 to 776 of the family's 1533-position model. The record is from RNAcentral.